UGAGAAUACCUAUAUUUGUUAUUGAAAAAGAUUUAGAGAAAGAGAUAGAAAUGCAAUUGAACACGUUCUUCAUAUGAUGUAUCAGCAAACUGCUUCUCGAAUUAAAAUCUUUUAACGAGGGUCACUACGAUCGACUGGACACUUGACCUCGUUGACCUGGUUUCCGGAAACCUAUGAAUAAUAAAAAUGCAAAUCUCCCAGCCACGAGAUCACUUUUCAACGUACAGAGAGAGUAUCCGACUAAACGUGGAGGUAAUUAGACUGGACGAAACUCGAGUUAAUUGAAGAGCAGGCGACAGUUAACUGGAAGACACUACGCUGGUCCAUUGUAUUCAGUCUACAGCCCUCUAAAUCUCUCUCGCGAGUAGUGUUCUACCUCUUUACUUGCUAACCUUCCAUCCUCAUGGCCAUUUUGCUUUAACCUAGUAACCAACCUUCUAUCCCUUUAGCGGCUAGUGGAUAACUCUGAUCCUGAGACAAACUUAGCUAAAACCAGCUGGAUAUACAUGCACCAUGUUAAAUGGUAAUUAACUCCCGAACAUGGGGAUCGUGCACAGUGGACAUCUAUCACAUUGGAAAUUAAUUAUGA
Long non-coding RNA from Apis dorsata (giant honeybee), 589 nucleotides. RefSeq lists it as uncharacterized. Lineage: Eukaryota; Metazoa; Arthropoda; Insecta; Hymenoptera; Apidae. The transcript is spliced from 3 exons. The record is from RefSeq and is a predicted model, not a curated record.